UACGUAGGGGGCUAGCGUUGUCCGGAUUUAUUGGGCGUAAAGAGCGUGUAGGCGGUUUGGUAGGUCCGCUGUGAAAACUCGAGGCUCAACCUCGAGACGCCGGUGGAAACCAUCAGACUAGAGUCCGGAAGAGGAGAGUGGAAUUCCUGGUGUAGCGGUGAAAUGCGCAGAUAUCGGGAAGAACACCUAUGGCGAAGGCAGCUCUCUGGGACGGUACUGACGCUGAGACGCGAAAGCGUGGGGAGCGAACAGG
RNAcentral lists this ribosomal RNA (253 nucleotides) under uncultured bacterium. RNAcentral's name for it is "partial 16S ribosomal RNA". It matches the Rfam family "Bacterial small subunit ribosomal RNA", at positions 524 to 776 of the family's 1533-position model. The record is from RNAcentral.